Molecule: long non-coding RNA, 552 nt
Filed under: Gossypium barbadense (sea-island cotton)
Lineage: Eukaryota; Viridiplantae; Streptophyta; Magnoliopsida; Malvales; Malvaceae
Description: long non-coding RNA (GBAR_LNC018162)
Source: RNAcentral
CUAGUUUUUUAAUUCCAGCGAAAGAAUCUCUUCACCCAUCCAUAUAUGAAACUUGAAAUCCAAACAAAACAGUCACCAGAAGGAUUGAAAAAGAAAAAAGCAGAUUCGUUUGUAAAAAUUAAAGAUUAGCUGAUGAAUCUGGAAGAAAAUGAUUGUAAGGGGGCAUUACUGACAGCAAAAACAUGGAUUUAAAGUUAAUGCUGCAAAGCGGAUCCCUUUCUUCACUUUUGCACCUUUGAGAUUAGGCAAAUAAUCAGGAAUAUUGCUCAUUAUGCCUAGGUAAUUAGUGCAAUACUAUUAUCCCAAACAUAAAUUAAAAGAAAUAUUGAAGAAGAUGAAGAUGAAGAAGAAAUCACCAGAACUGGGUUCUCACCCCUUUCGCCCGCCCACCACUUGGAGAGAUGGAGCAUGGUUGCCUCUUAUAUAUAUUGGCUUUUAGGGCAUAACAUGUAAGACCCAUUCACACCAUAUCUCUGGUAUACAAUAUGAUGUAAUAUUCUGAUUGGAAAAUCAGCAACCGUGGGUGUUGGACGGUUCAGAUUAGGAAUGUCA